This 86-nucleotide transfer RNA is filed under the name Terriglobia bacterium. RNAcentral describes it as "tRNA-OTHER". Lineage: Bacteria; Pseudomonadati; Acidobacteriota; Terriglobia. The record is from RNAcentral.
GGAGGGCGUCCAGUUGGUGCUGGAAACCGGAUUUAUACCCGGUACUCUUGAAAGGGAGAGGGGUCCGAUCCCCCCGCCCUCCGCCA